AAAGCCAAGCCAGGCAGUGCUAGGUGAGGCGCUAGAGGGUCGCCUGUGCGCCUCACUCGCCUUUAACAACACUACUUAUGAUGUUUCCUCAAAUGUUCAAUUUCAAAAAUAAUCUCAAGGAAAAGAUGAGAAGCAACUUGAAGAAACUCUACAUAGGCUGAAAGCAUAGCUAGAAGCAAUAUCAAGAUUUCUUGAACUUGUCAUCGCUCAUCACAAAUCAACAGGAUGCAAAGCAAGAAUUUGAUAGUGAAAAGCAUGAAAAGCAACAUGGAGAAUCCAAAGUUUUGAAUGUUGAGCCUUCACAUGUUAAAAUCCAAGAUGAUGAGAUUGAGUUGGAAAGUUUUGAGAAACCUAUUCUAAAGAAAGAAGUUGAUGAGAAUGAGCUAGAAGAGUUUGAGGAUUCGACCCUAGGGAAAGAAGAAAAUAAACCGUUGAGAAGACAAUGGACAUUGAAAAUUUAUCUAAUUCUAGUGAAUUGAAGAGCCAGUCAAUUGUAUUUAUGAAUGAUUUUAUGUGUUUAGAUAUUUCUGGCGAUGUGAAGGAAUGAAUGGAGUUCUUUAUUUCAAUCUUAUUGCCCACAUCCAAGAAGAGAGAGGAGAGUUGCUUGUUCUUCGAGUUCAACUCCUGAUUUUUCAAUACUACAAAAUUCAAGGUCUCCUUUUCUCCAACUAGGGGAAAUUGAAGCAAUCAAAGAAAUCUAAAUUUAAGAAUUAUUUUGAUUUAGUUUUUCAUUGUAAAAUUGGGAAGUUUGGAUUUCUAUUAUUUAGAAAUUUUAAUUUAGAAAAUAGUAUUUUAUUUUAUUUAGGAAG
This 809-nucleotide unclassified non-coding RNA is filed under the name Hevea brasiliensis (rubber tree). Lineage: Eukaryota; Viridiplantae; Streptophyta; Magnoliopsida; Malpighiales; Euphorbiaceae. The record is from RNAcentral.